AGGCAGCAGUGGGGAAUAUUGGACAAUGGGGGCAACCCUGAUCCAGCCAUGCCGCGUGUGUGAAGAAGGCCUUCGGGUUGUAAAGCACUUUAAGUUGGGAGGAAAGGGUUGUGGCUAAUAUCCAUAAUCUAUGACGUUACCAACAGAAUAAGCACCGGCUAACUCCCGUGCCAGCAGCCGCGGUAAUACGGAGGGUGCAAGCGUUAAUCGGAAUUACUGGGCGUAAAGCGCGCGUAGGCGGCUAAGUAAGCUAGAUGUGAAAUCCCCUGGGCUCAACCUGGGCACUGCAUUUAGAACUGCUUAGCUAGAGUGCAGAAGAGGAGUGUGGAAUUUCCGGUGUAGCGGUGAAAUGCGUAGAGAUCGGAAGGAACAUCAGUGGCGAAGGCGACACUCUGGUCUGACACUGACGCUGAGGUGCGAAAGCGUGGGUAGCAAACAGGAUUAGAUACCCUGGUAGUCCACGCUGUAAACGAUGUCUACUGGCCGUUGGCCUCCUUGAGGGGUUAGUGGCGUAGCUAACGCGAUAAGUAGACCGCCUGGGGAGUACGGCCGCAAGGUUAAAACUCAAAUGAAUUGACGGGGG
RNAcentral lists this ribosomal RNA (583 nucleotides) under uncultured Gammaproteobacteria bacterium. Its description in RNAcentral is "bacterial SSU rRNA". It matches the Rfam family "Bacterial small subunit ribosomal RNA", at positions 346 to 919 of the family's 1533-position model. Lineage: Bacteria; Pseudomonadati; Pseudomonadota; Gammaproteobacteria. The record is from RNAcentral.